Molecule: long non-coding RNA, 565 nt
Filed under: Heterocephalus glaber (naked mole-rat)
Lineage: Eukaryota; Metazoa; Chordata; Mammalia; Rodentia; Bathyergidae
Description: lncRNA (ENSHGLG00100044208.1)
Source: RNAcentral
UGAAGAACACAAGCAAGGACUCUGCUCUGCGGGUGACACUGCCUCUGCAGUUUGAUAACAGCUGUUCAGUGGCGGAGCAGGUGGUGCUUACAUCCAACCAGUCCAAGGCCAAGUCGAAGACUCACCACCACCAUCCCAUGCUCUUUCCAAAAGAACAAAACGAAACAAGACGACGACGACAGCAACAACAACAGGAAGACAUUUUCAUCCUUGGGCAUGGGAGAACACAAUACUCUUCUUUUUUUUGUUUAUUUUUUUCCCCAUUAAGUUUAUUGGUACAUUUUAGGUAUAAAAUACAGUUACAUUCAUCAUUAGGAUCUUGUACCAUUACAUGAGUAUCUUGGUUCUUUUUUUUUUUUCCCCUUCCCCUGCCCUCCCUUCACCCCCUCCACCCUUCCCUAUUUGCAAAGACUUUGUUUCCAUAUUUUUUCUUUUCUCAUAUUUUUUCUUUUCCCUUCUUUCCUUUCCCCUACCCCUCCCACUUCCUCUGUUCCUUUAGACCUUUACUUCCUAUUAUACAAUAUCAAUUAUACAUUUUAAAAAUUAAAAUAUCAAGUCAAAGGAG